GCCUUGGUGUUGUAGUGGGCAGCACACUCGGCACGUAUUCGAGAGGUCCGUGGUUCGAGUCCCGGCGAAGGCA
Non-coding RNA from Stegodyphus mimosarum, 73 nucleotides. Lineage: Eukaryota; Metazoa; Arthropoda; Arachnida; Araneae; Eresidae. The record is from Rfam.